CGACCAGACUCCUACGGGAGGCAGCAGUGGGGAAUAUUGCACAAUGGGGGGAACCCUGAUGCAGCGACGCCGCGUGAGUGAAGAAGUAUUUCGGUAUGUAAAGCUCUAUCAGCAGGGAAGAAAAUGACGGUACCUGACUAAGAAGCCCCGACUAACUACGUGCCAGCAGCCGCGGUAAUACGUAGGGGGCAAGCGUUAUCCGGAUUUACUGGGUGUAAAGGGGGCGCAGACGGCGAUGCAAGCCAGGAGUGAAAGCCCGGGGCCCAACCCCGGGACUGCUCUGGAAACUGCGUCGCUGGAGUACGGGAGGGGCAGGCGGAAUUCCUGGUGUAGCGGUGAAAUGCGUAGAUAUCAGGAGGAAUACCGGCGGCGAAGGCGGCCUGCUGGACCGUGACUGACGUUGAGGCUCGAGAGCGUGGGGAGCAAACAGGAUUAGAUACCCUGGUA
This 447-nucleotide ribosomal RNA is filed under the name uncultured bacterium. RNAcentral's name for it is "bacterial SSU rRNA". It matches the Rfam family "Bacterial small subunit ribosomal RNA", at positions 328 to 792 of the family's 1533-position model. The record is from RNAcentral.